Molecule: transfer RNA, 31 nt
Filed under: Pseudosphromenus dayi
Lineage: Eukaryota; Metazoa; Chordata; Actinopteri; Anabantiformes; Osphronemidae
Description: partial tRNA-Thr
Source: RNAcentral
GCAUCAGUAGCUCAGCGCCCAGAGCGCCGGU